AUAACUAGUUUCAAAAAAAACUCUGACAUCAAUAUAGUCGCAUUAAUUUGUACUUAAUAAAAGAAGAGUUAAA
Caenorhabditis elegans is the source of this 73-nucleotide non-coding RNA. Lineage: Eukaryota; Metazoa; Nematoda; Chromadorea; Rhabditida; Rhabditidae. The record is from Ensembl.